This 497-nucleotide ribosomal RNA is filed under the name uncultured bacterium. RNAcentral's name for it is "partial 16S ribosomal RNA". It matches the Rfam family "Bacterial small subunit ribosomal RNA", at positions 28 to 507 of the family's 1533-position model. The record is from RNAcentral.
GAUGAACGCUGGCGGCGUGCCUAAUACAUGCAAGUCGAGCGAACGGACGAGAAGCUUGCUUCUCUGAUGUUAGCGGCGGACGGGUGAGUAACACGUGGAUAACCUACCUAUAAGACUGGGAUAACUUCGGGAAACCGGAGCUAAUACCGUAUAAUAUUUUGAACCGCAUGGUUCAAAAGUGAAAGACGGUCUUGCUGUCACUUAUAGAUGGAUCCGCGCUGCAUUAGCUAGUUGGUAAGGUAACGGCUUACCAAGGCAACGAUGCAUAGCCGACCUGAGAGGGUGAUCGGCCACACUGGAACUGAGACACGGUCCAGACUCCUACGGGAGGCAGCAGUAGGGAAUCUUCCGCAAUGGGCGAAAGCCUGACGGAGCAACGCCGCGUGAGUGAUGAAGGUCUUCGGAUCGUAAAACUCUGUUAUUAGGGAAGAACAUAUGUGUAAGUAACUGUGCACAUCUUGACGGUACCUAAUCAGAAAGCCACGGCUAACUACGUG